This is an RNA transcript of Calidris pugnax (ruff), 1732 nucleotides long. It is a transcript of the gene named RING finger protein 113A-like, with no coding region annotated. NCBI's taxonomy places the organism in Eukaryota, Metazoa, Chordata, Aves, Charadriiformes, Scolopacidae. The transcript has 13 exons. The record is from RefSeq and is a predicted model, not a curated record.
ACUUCAGUGGUCGCCGGCGCAAGAUGGCGGAGGAGGGUUCCGUUUGCACCUUCGUUUUCAAGAAGCGGGGCCUGGCGGCGGGCAGGGGUCGGCGCAAGCGGCCCAGCAGCGACCAGGAGCAGGAGAGCAGCGGUGAGGAGGGCAGCACGGUGGUGCGCAAGGAGCGGCGGCGGGAGGCCCCCAACCCCAUGAUCCAGAAGACCAGGAGAUGCGCCAAGGAGAGGCCUGCGUACGCGGUGAGCAGCAGUGACGAUGAGGAUCCAUCCAAGGAGAUUGGAGUCACUUACAAAUCAACAAGGUCGGCGAAACCUGUUGGCCCAGAAGACAUGGGAGCCACAGCAGUGUAUGAGCUGGACACGGAGAAGGAGAAAGAUGCUCAGGCCAUCUUCGAACGCAGCCAGAAGAUCCAGGAGGAGCUGAGAGGAAAGGAAGAUGAUAAAAUUUACCGUGGUAUUAACAACUACCAGAAGUACGUGAAACCCAAGGACACGUCGAUGGGAAACGCCUCUUCAGGGAUGGUCAGAAAAGGACCCAUCCGUGCUCCGGAGCACUUGCGGGCCACGGUGCGGUGGGACUACCAGCCUGACAUCUGCAAGGACUACAAAGAAACUGGGUUCUGCGGCUUUGGAGACAGUUGCAAAUUUCUCCACGACCGCUCGGACUACAAACACGGGUGGCAGAUCGAACGGGAGCUGGAUGAAGGCCGGUACGGAGUGAACGAUGAGGAAAACUACGAGGUGAGCAGCGACGAGGAGGAUAUGCCUUUCAAAUGCUUCAUCUGCAGAAGUUCCUUCAAGAACCCCGUGGUCACCAAGUGUAGGCACUACUUCUGUGAGAGCUGUGCCCUCCAACACUAUCGCAAAUCCCAGCGCUGCUACGUCUGUGACAAGCAAACCAACGGCGUCUUCAACCCAGCUAAAGAGCUAAUGGCAAAAUUGGAAAAACACAAAGGGGAGGAAGAAGAGGAGGAAGAGCAGCAGCAUUCAGACCAUGGAGAGGAUCCCCAAUAGCAGAGCACCCUGUUUUGUAUGUAGCUGAAUAAAGUUUUCAUAGGAGAUAAAAACGCUCAUGGCAGUUGCCUUGGGGCCAGCAGCUGUUCCCAGCUUGUGUAUCCAACCAGCAGCUACUAAACCAGUGUCCUGACUGGACCAGACUCCCUCUUUGCUGCUCUAAAGGUGUAAGAACAGGUUGCUGUUUCACUCCUAACUUCGCACUGAUCUUGCUUCAGGCUGCUGUGUAAGCAUAAAACUACUUCCAAGUUAAUUUAAGUCCAUAAUCUUUGAGCACAUAACAAGCUGAAAGCGUGGAAGGGGAUGAGAAAUAUUAGCUUGCGUUAAGUUCAUCCUUCACCCUAAAAAUGCAAACUCAGGGGAAAGCAGGUUCCAGGGCUGCAGUUACUUGUGAUUUAUUACAGCUCAGUGUUUUCCCUCCUGUCCUUUCUGCCUGCUUCUGGAUUCCUAGGAGAAUUCAAGAGAGACUUAAAAUGUCAGUGGGCAACGUUGUUGAACCUCUCCUGUAAGGAAACCUCCAAACCAUCACCAACUCAGCCCCAAAGGUUUUAUGCUGAAUGGUUUCGUGCUUUUUCUUGCUGGUAUGUUCUACCACCAUCCAGCCAGGGUGCAAGCUUCCUCUGAAGUAAGGAAAGGAGAAGAGAGCGAGCACGCACAGCCAGCCUGUGGCAUUUGUGAUCCACUCCAUCACCUUGCAGCAACAGCAGACUUAAAAAAAACAA